Molecule: ribosomal RNA, 450 nt
Filed under: uncultured bacterium
Lineage: Bacteria
Description: partial 16S ribosomal RNA
Rfam family: Bacterial small subunit ribosomal RNA
Source: RNAcentral
CCUACGGGUGGCAGCAGUGAGGAAUAUUGGGCAAUGGACGAAAGUCUGACCCAGCAACGCCGCGUGGAGGAUGAAUGCCGUAAGGUUGUAAACUCCUUUUGAAGGGGACGAAAAAUUCCGCUAACAUCGGAACUUGACUGUACCCUUAGAAGAAGCCCCGGCUAACUACGUGCCAGCAGCCGCGGUAAUACGUAGGGGGCAAGCGUUGUCCGGAUUAACUGGGUGUAAAGGGGGCGUAGGCGGACUUGUAGAAAUCUCCCGGCUUAACCGGGAAACUGCCUUUGAUACUGCAAGUCUUGAGUUCGGAAGAGAGUAGCGGAAUUCCAGGUGUAGUGGUGAAAUACGUAGAUAUCUGGAAGAACACCAGUGGCGAAGGCGGCUACUUGGUCCGUAACUGACGCUGAGGCGCGAAAGCGUGGGGAGCAAACAGGAUUAGAUACCCGGGUAGUC